GACGAAGGGUGCAAGCGUUAUCCGGAUUCAUUGGGUUUAAAGGGCGCGUAGGUGGCCUUAUAAGUCAGUGGUGAAAUCUCUCGGCUUAACCGAGAAAUUGCCAUUGAUACUGUAGGGCUUGAGUAUAGUUGCCGUUGGCGGAAUAUGACAUGUAGUGGUGAAAUACAUAGAGAUGGCAUAGAACACCGAUUGCGAAGGCAGCUGACGAAACUAUAACUGACACUGAGGCUCGAAAGUGCGGGGAGCAAACAGG
This 253-nucleotide ribosomal RNA is filed under the name uncultured bacterium. RNAcentral describes it as "partial 16S ribosomal RNA". It matches the Rfam family "Bacterial small subunit ribosomal RNA", at positions 524 to 776 of the family's 1533-position model. The record is from RNAcentral.